UGCCUCCCGGAUUCAAGUGAUUCUCCUGCCU
This 31-nucleotide non-coding RNA is filed under the name Homo sapiens (human). The record is from RNAcentral. Lineage: Eukaryota; Metazoa; Chordata; Mammalia; Primates; Hominidae.